GGAUGAUCAACUGCAAUGGACUUGAGAGCUGGAGCUUUGCGGCGCAAUAGAACAUCUCAACCAAACUCAAUGCCAUGGAAGUGGCUGAGCUCGACGGAGCUUCGGCGGCUGAGCGACUUGAUGGGUGGAGAUCGCUAUAUGAAGGAGAGC
Molecule: long non-coding RNA, 150 nt
Organism: Rhodamnia argentea
Lineage: Eukaryota; Viridiplantae; Streptophyta; Magnoliopsida; Myrtales; Myrtaceae
Exons: 3
Source: RefSeq, a predicted model, not a curated record